RNAcentral lists this ribosomal RNA (161 nucleotides) under uncultured bacterium. Its description in RNAcentral is "partial 16S ribosomal RNA". It matches the Rfam family "Bacterial small subunit ribosomal RNA", at positions 355 to 509 of the family's 1533-position model. The record is from RNAcentral.
UAGGGAAUCUUCGGCAAUGGACGAAAGUCUGACCGAGCAACGCCGCGUGAGUGAAGAAGGUUUUCGGAUCGUAAAACUCUGUUGUUAGAGAAGAACAAGGACGUUAGUAACUGAACGUCCCUGACGGUAUCUAACCAGAAAGCCACGGCUAACUACGUGCC